AUUGAACGCUGGCGGCAGGCCUAACACAUGCAAGUCGAGCGGAUGAAGGGAGCUUGCUCCUGGAUUCAGCGGCGGACGGGUGAGUAAUGCCUAGGAAUCUGCCUGGUAGUGGGGGAUAACGUCCGGAAACGGGCGCUAAUACCGCAUACGUCCUGAGGGAGAAAGUGGGGGAUCUUCGGACCUCACGCUAUCAGAUGAGCCUAGGUCGGAUUAGCUAGUUGGUGGGGUAAAGGCCUACCAAGGCGACGAUCCGUAACUGGUCUGAGAGGAUGAUCAGUCACACUGGAACUGAGACACGGUCCAGACUCCUACGGGAGGCAGCAGUGGGGAAUAUUGGACAAUGGACGAAAGCCUGAUCCAGCCAUGCCGCGUGUGUGAAGAAGGUCUUCGGAUUGUAAAGCACCUUAAGUUGGGAGGAAGGGCAGUAAGUUAAUACCUUGCUGUUUUGACGUUACCAACAGAAUAAGCACCGGCUAACUUCGUG
Molecule: ribosomal RNA, 484 nt
Filed under: uncultured bacterium
Lineage: Bacteria
Description: partial 16S ribosomal RNA
Rfam family: Bacterial small subunit ribosomal RNA
Source: RNAcentral